This 93-nucleotide transfer RNA is filed under the name Rhodospirillales bacterium. RNAcentral's name for it is "tRNA-Ser". It matches the Rfam family "tRNA". Rfam says of the family: Transfer RNA (tRNA) molecules are approximately 80 nucleotides in length. Their secondary structure includes four short double-helical elements and three loops (D, anti-codon, and T loops). Lineage: Bacteria; Pseudomonadati; Pseudomonadota; Alphaproteobacteria; Rhodospirillales. The record is from RNAcentral.
GGUGGAGUGGCCGAGCGGCUGAAGGCGCUGGUUUGCUAAACCAGUAUAGGGUUUAUAGCUCUAUCGAGGGUUCGAAUCCCUCCUCCACCGCCA